Molecule: long non-coding RNA, 488 nt
Filed under: Olea europaea subsp. europaea
Lineage: Eukaryota; Viridiplantae; Streptophyta; Magnoliopsida; Lamiales; Oleaceae
Source: RNAcentral
UCACGCAAUUCGGCGACAAUUGUAGGAGCUUUGGGAGAAAAAAUUAUAUACAUAUACAUACAGAAAACCAAAGCAAAGGAGGGCAGCCUGGGGAAUAGAGAGAAUAAACAUUGUCGGCUGCAAACAUAGAGAAGAGAAGAAUUCUGCCUACUGCUGAACUAUGUAUACACGUAAGCCGGCAUAGAGGGGGCUGAAUUGAAGAUAUUAGAUACAACAGAAAUCGGCAGAUUGGUGGAGGCUGGGAAUAAAUUGCAUAUAUUAACACAGCAAACGGAGAAGAGAAGGAAUUGUUGGGUGCUUAAUUAUAUAUACAUAGCCGGCUGAGAUUUGAAAAGAAUCGACAACCGUGGGAGAUAAAAAUAAAGAGGCUGCCUUCAGAAAUUAGAGAAGAACAGAGACGACACACAACCAUUGGAAUUAAUUACGUUUCGUCUAUUUCUCGGUGAUGUCAUUCUCUUUUUAUGCGUUUAAUUGCAACAAUGUGCUAG